UUGAAGUUAAUAGGGUUUAAUCCUUUGAACGAUAAGUAAUUAUUAAAGAAAAGGGAUAAGAGAUUUUAACAUAGAUCAAACUGUGGCGGCGGCAUCGGUACCCCAGAUUUCGAACGUUCCAAAAUAUCAAGAAAGAGAAAGACACCUGUGGACUAGUGACAUUCGAAUUCUUCGGUUGAGAAAAGUGUUCUAGGCUCAGACAUAACCUCACCUCUCGAAUUUGAUAGCAGAUUUUAAUCCAAGGGUGAGCACUUCGUCUCCACGCAGUCAUGGGUCAUCUUAUUCUUUUUCUUGUCCAUCUUUCAGGCAAUAAAACAUUCUUGAUUUACUUUAUUUCUGGAUAUCACUUUAGACAUGAUCUUUGUUAGUAGUUUUUGUACGAUGA
Molecule: long non-coding RNA, 385 nt
Organism: Capsicum annuum
Lineage: Eukaryota; Viridiplantae; Streptophyta; Magnoliopsida; Solanales; Solanaceae
Exons: 3
Source: RefSeq, a predicted model, not a curated record